AGAGUUUGAUCCUGGCUCAGAUUGAACGCUGGCGGAAUGCUUUACACAUGCAAGUCGAACGGCAGCACGGGGGCAACCCUGGUGGCGAGUGGCGAACGGGUGAGUAAUACAUCGGAACGUGCCCAGUCGUGGGGGAUAACUACGCGAAAGCGUAGCUAAUACCGCAUACGAUCUACGGAUGAAAGCGGGGGAUCGCAAGACCUCGCGCGAUUGGAGCGGCCGAUGGCAGAUUAGGUAGUUGGUGGGGUAAAGGCUCACCAAGCCUGCGAUCUGUAGCUGGUCUGAGAGGACGACCAGCCACACUGGGACUGAGACACGGCCCAGACUCCUACGGGAGGCAGCAGUGGGGAAUUUUGGACAAUGGGCGCAAGCCUGAUCCAGCCAUUCCGCGUGCAGGAUGAAGGCCUUCGGGUUGUAAACUGCUUUUGUACGGAACGAAAAGCCUUGCUCUAAUACAGCGAGGUCAUGACGGUACCGAAAGAAUAAGCACCGGCUAACUACGUGCCAGCAGCCGCGGUAAUAC
This 523-nucleotide ribosomal RNA is filed under the name uncultured Variovorax sp. RNAcentral's name for it is "bacterial SSU rRNA". It matches the Rfam family "Bacterial small subunit ribosomal RNA", at positions 8 to 526 of the family's 1533-position model. Lineage: Bacteria; Pseudomonadati; Pseudomonadota; Betaproteobacteria; Burkholderiales; Comamonadaceae. The record is from RNAcentral.